AUUCCUCCACCCUAGACUCUUUUGUCGAAAGGCUGGGACUUGGGGGUCUUGCGGGGUUCUCUGGCCCCGCUCCCCUUGAAUAGAUCAGUGAAGACCCUCGCGGCCCUCGGUGUGAUAGAUAUCUACGCCGCGGGGAGUGGGAAUCAGGCCUUUGCUCCUAACAGUCCGACCGGGACAACAAACUUUGA
This 188-nucleotide unclassified non-coding RNA is filed under the name uncultured Basidiomycota. Its description in RNAcentral is "sequence contains ITS2". The record is from RNAcentral. Lineage: Eukaryota; Fungi; Basidiomycota.